UUUUAACCUAGCUUUAACAGGUGUGUAUUACACAAUUUUAAUCGACUUCAAUGGAGGCAACCUGUUUCAUGUCGCGUGGUUCUUUUCCUUCACCUCAUGCAUUAAAAUCAUGUAAUGCACACCUAGCCAUGGAUUAGCCCUUAUGUGUGAAGAGGGUCAUAGGUUACACAAAGUAUUAAAUGAAGGGGGCACUAUUAUUAUUAUUUUUUUAAACUUAAGGUUAGAAUUUUGAACGAAAAACCAAAAUGAUAAAGAGGGCAAACUCUGUACAGUAUUUAAACAUGAUUGUUUCUAUGCUUUUUUUCCAGAAAUGCAUGUUAUUGUGCAAGGGGUAGUUGCAUGGACUAUCAGUGGAGGGUCAGAAAGCUCUGAGAUUUCAUUAUAAAGAUCUUCAUUUGAGUUUUGAAGAUGAACAAAAGACUUGUGGGUUUGGAACGACAUGAGGGUGAGUAAUUGAUGACAGAAUUUUCAUUUUUGGGUGAACCGACCUUUUAACUUCUUUUACCUGGAGUGUUCAAAGACAUUGAGUACCUUUACAUGGACAACAAUAAUCAGAUUUUAACAUGAUUAAGACAAUACGCUGAUUAAGAAUCUACCUUGUAAACAGAGAUUUUUGAUUAACUUAAUCCGGCUUAAGUCAUUAAAUUGAAUUAAGACGUGGAGUAUUCCUAUUUUAGUCACAUUAUUGAAGUGCAGUAGACAUGUAAACACCUUAAUCACAUUAUUACCAUUGUGUAGGACUUUUCACUGCAGAACUUUUUUUUUUUUUUUUUUUUACGACAGGAUACACACACAGCAGUGGUCAACCGUUUGACGGCAAAUAAAAGCUUCAACACCACCAUGGUCUGUAUGCGGUCGCCGUGAUUUUGCCAAGAACAACAAGGAUGUUUAUCCAGGAACAUGUUGUACUUGGUGAAAUCACGCUCACCGUCUGUAUGCAUGUACAAAUGCUUGAAGGUUUCAUAAAAUUAAAAAUGAAACACCCAAAACUGUACAUGGCAUCAUCACGAAGAUGAACUAUAUGUUUAUAUGUGAAAUUCUG
Cyprinus carpio carpio is the source of this 1042-nucleotide long non-coding RNA. Lineage: Eukaryota; Metazoa; Chordata; Actinopteri; Cypriniformes; Cyprinidae. The record is from Ensembl.